CUCUUCUCUCUCGCGCGCGCCCUCCCCCCCCCUCCUCUCUCCCAAAUACUUACUUAGCGAUUUACCUUUGCCCUCGCUGAUACGGUGCUGCACGCCACGUAGACACACAGCCUCACACACACGCACACGCGCGCGCACACGCACAGCGACACGCGCACCCUUAACGCUCCUACUGUACCGAUCUCUCUCCCUCUGUCUCUCUUCACGGUUCCUUUCUUGUUUCCGUCAACUCCAACAGAACGGCGAUGUCAACGCCAAGGACGACGACGACGGCGGCCAAGCCGAAGCCGUACAGCUUCGUGAAUGACUACAGCGUGGGCAUGCAUCCCAAGAUUUUGGAUCUGAUGGUACGCGACAACAUGACGCAGCACGCGGGCUACGGGCUAGACAGCCACUGCGCGGAGGCGGCACGCAUGAUCGGCGAGCUGCUUGAGCAGCCGAGCGCGGAUAUCCAUUUUAUUUCCGGCGGCACGCAGACGAACCUGAUCGCCUGCAGUCUAGCGCUACGCCCGUGGGAAGCCGUCAUCGCAACGCAGCUGGGCCACGUCAGCACGCACGAGACCGGCGCCAUUGAGGCAACGGGGCACAAAGUCGUCACGGUGCCGUGCCCGGACGGCAAGCUGCGCGUUGCCGACAUAGAGAGCGCGCUGCACGAGAAUCGCUCAGAGCACAUGGUGAUACCCAAGCUCGUCUACAUCUCCAACACAACGGAGGUAGGCACGCAGUACACGAAGCAGGAGUUGGAGGACAUCUCCGCCUUCUGCAAGGAGCACGACCUGUACCUCUUCCUCGACGGUGCCCGCCUCGCCUCGGCCCUUAGCAGCCCUGUGAACGAUCUGACGUUGGCAGACAUCGCCCGCCUGACGGACAUGUUCUACAUUGGCGCCACGAAGGCCGGUGGCAUGUUCGGCGAAGCGCUCGUCCUCUUGAAUGAUGCCCUAAAGCCGAACGCGCGCCACCUCAUCAAGCAGCGCGGCGCCCUCAUGGCGAAGGGAUGGCUGCUCGGCAUCCAAUUCGAGGUGCUCAUGAAGGACAACCUCUUCUUCGAGCUCGGCGCCCACUCGAACAAGAUGGCCGCCAUCCUCAAGGCUGGGCUGGAGGCGUGCGGCAUUCGACUUGCCUGGCCAUCCGCGAGCAAUCAGCUCUUCCCGAUCCUGGAAAACACCAUGAUCGAAGAGCUGAGCAAAGACUUCGACAUGUUCACCGUCGAGCCCUUGAAGGACAACACGUGCAUCAUGCGACUCUGCACGUCGUGGGCGACGGAGGAGAAGGAGUGCCACCGUUUUGUGGAGCUGCUGAAGCGCCUCGUCGCGUCAACGGCCUAAUCACGGAAAACUCUCUUCUUCUUGCGCAUAACAAAACGGCUCACAGCGCUCGGAAGCGAUGCGCCACCCCCCCCCUCCACCCUCCCCUCCCCUCCCCGUUGUGUGCAUCCCACCAUCCAUCCACCUGACGCGCGCACACACACACACUUGCUCAG
This 1480-nucleotide unclassified non-coding RNA is filed under the name Leishmania donovani. RNAcentral's name for it is "gene:LdHU3.01.0560(CDS-product:beta_eliminating_l yaseputative)". The record is from RNAcentral. Lineage: Eukaryota; Euglenozoa; Kinetoplastea; Trypanosomatida; Trypanosomatidae.